GCUUGCUUGUUGGGGUUGUAGGACACUUUAUACGGAGUUACAAAGGACGACAUUAGACGAAUCAUCUGGAAAGAUGAAUCAAAGAAGGUAAUAAUCCUGUAGUCGAAAAUGUUGUCUCUCUUGAGUGGAUCCUGAGUACGACGGAACACGUGAAAUUCCGUCGGAAUCUGGGAGGACCAUCUCCUAAGGCUAAAUACUCUCUAGUGACCGAUAGUGAACCAGUACCGUGAGGGAAAGGUGAAAAGCACCCCGGAAGGGGAGUGAAAUAGAACCUGAAACCGUGUGCUUACAAGUAGUCAGAGCCCGUUAAUGGGUGAUGGCGUGCCUUUUGUAGAAUGAACCGGCGAGUUACGAUUUGAUGCAAGGUUAAGCAGUAAAUGUGGAGCCGUAGCGAAAGCGAGUCUGAAUAGGGCGUUUAGUAUUUGGUCGUAGACCCGAAACCAGGUGAUCUACCCUUGGUCAGGUUGAAGUUCAGGUAACACUGAAUGGAGGACCGAACCGACUUACGUUGAAAAGUGAGCGGAUGAACUGAGGGUAGCGGAGAAAUUCCAAUCGAACCUGGAGAUAGCUGGUUCUCUCCGAAAUAGCUUUAGGGCUAGCCUCAAGUGAUGAUUAUUGGAGGUAGAGCACUGUUUGGACGAGGGGCCCCUCUCGGGUUACCGAAUUCAGACAAACUCCGAAUGCCAAUUAAUUUAACUUGGGAGUCAGAACAUGGGUGAUAAGGUCCGUGUUCGAAAGGGAAACAGCCCAGACCACCAGCUAAGGUCCCAAAAUAUAUGUUAAGUGGAAAAGGAUGUGGCGUUGCCCAGACAACUAGGAUGUUGGCUUAGAAGCAGCCAUCAUUUAAAGAGUGCGUAAUAGCUCACUAGUCGAGUGACACUGCGCCGAAAAUGUACCGGGGCUAAACAUAUUACCGAAGCUGUGGAUUGUCCUUUGGACAAUGGUAGGAGAGCGUUCUAAGGGCGUUGAAGCAUGAUCGUAAGGACAUGUGGAGCGCUUAGAAGUGAGAAUGCCGGUGUGAGUAGCGAAAGACGGGUGAGAAUCCCGUCCACCGAUUGACUAAGGUUUCCAGAGGAAGGCUCGUCCGCUCUGGGUUAGUCGGGUCCUAAGCUGAGGCCGACAGGCGUAGGCGAUGGAUAACAGGUUGAUAUUCCUGUACCACCUAUA
Molecule: ribosomal RNA, 1167 nt
Filed under: Staphylococcus aureus
Lineage: Bacteria; Bacillati; Bacillota; Bacilli; Caryophanales; Staphylococcaceae
Description: partial 23S ribosomal RNA
Rfam family: Bacterial large subunit ribosomal RNA
Source: RNAcentral